Molecule: ribosomal RNA, 447 nt
Filed under: Triticum aestivum (bread wheat)
Lineage: Eukaryota; Viridiplantae; Streptophyta; Magnoliopsida; Poales; Poaceae
Description: partial small subunit ribosomal RNA
Source: RNAcentral
UCCGGCGACUGCAACAGGGAUCACGGCUCGGUCUGCUGUAAAGACGGUCACCGCUACCCGCAAUUCAGGUGCUCGCCCCCGGUGUCGGCCGGCACGCCAGCGAUCCUAACUCUGAACAGCUUCGCACGAGGUGGAGACGGCGGCGGCAAAUCGUUCUGCGACAACCGCUUCCACAAGGACACCGAGCUGGUGGUGGCGCUGUCCACGGGGUGGCUGCGCCUGGACGGCAAGCGCAGGUGCAACAAGAUGAUCCGCAUCAACGGGUACGGGCGUGCUGUGCUGGCCAAGGUCGUCGACGAGUGCGACUCGGUGUACGGCUGCGACGCCGAGCACAACUUCGAGCCACCGUGCCCAUACAACGACGUAGACGCGUCACCAGCCGUGUGGAAGGCGCUGGGGCUCAAGGAGGCGAUUGGAGUGUUCAAGAUCACAUGGUCUGAUGUGUGA